This is a long non-coding RNA of Neopelma chrysocephalum (saffron-crested tyrant-manakin), 2020 nucleotides long. RefSeq lists it as uncharacterized. Lineage: Eukaryota; Metazoa; Chordata; Aves; Passeriformes; Pipridae. The record is from RefSeq and is a predicted model, not a curated record. The transcript has 3 exons.
CCUCCUCCUCCUAUCGCUGCCACCAACCUCUCGUUCCCGUCCCAGCAGAGGGAUGCCCUUAAGCCCGCGCACGGCCCAUCCCCACUGGCCGCGGGGGCUCAGCAGGGACGAAGGGAGGGUGUCACGGCGUCACCGCCUCCCCGCCACACGAGCCCCGCUGCUUUUCCAGGGCGGAGCGACACGAACAGGGAGGACAGAGGACGCCGCAACGUUGAAGGGUGAGGAUGCUCCUCGCCAGGGAGGGGCUGCCGGCAGGGCUGCAGGUCUCCAGCCCUGGCCAGAGCGCCCUGAAGCUGAAGAUGACUGUGACACGCGGUGGACAUAAAUGAAAAACUUUUAGCCAACACCAUCUUUCUACCUUCUGCCUGGUGUGUCCAUGGCAACCCCCUGUGUGAGGAAGAUGAACGAAUGAAAUUAUCACGAACCAUAGUUAUGUGCAUCUGACAUGGUUUUCCACCUCGCUGGACCAAGAACGGAAAUGUAGGUAGCAAAUGCAUGGGGAUAAAGGACUUGACACUUUGAUAAUCUCUGUGCAGGAAAUUUCCAGUGGCCAAGAUGAUGUGUGGUCAUAUUUUCUGGAAGUUGGAUGAGCAACACCACAGAAAGAGAAGGGAGGUUGGGAGGACGUUGUCAGGCUUGCAAAGGAAGAAUCAGGGACAUACCUACGCACCACACUAUGAAGAAGCAGAAGCAAAACUCACACCUGGAUGUCUGUAACAGGCAAGACUGCUUAGUUUAGACAAAGUUGCCAGCAGGGAUGAGAGAAAUAUGGAGGAACAUUCUUAAGUGCCAGCAAAGAAAUUGGUUAUAUACUCUGACUUAUGGAACAGUCUGUCCCUGACCUGACCAGCUGUCUGCUGCAGGUCCAUGCAUCACGGUCAGACUUAGAGCAGAGAGCAUUGUCUCAGUGACAUUUUGGCUCUGCUUAAAGUCAGUGGCCAAAAUGCUACAAGCCUCAAAAAGGUUAAUUCUCACCUUCAAUCUGUAAACCAUCUAUAAGCCAUUUAUAAAAUACAACUUUUUAAAUUGUUGGACUGCCUUUAGUGCUUUCACUGCCAUGUCUGCAUGGCGUUAAUAAAAGCACCAUGGAAUCCAGCUGAUGGAAGGAAUAUAACUAUGUUAUAGUAUUACUGCUGACAAAAGGAAUGUAAAUUUCCCCAAGAUCUGAUUGUCCCACUCUAGAAUAAAUAAAGCAUAAUGGCACUGUCAUCUUUGUUUUUUUCCUGAAAUGUAAAAAUCACAACAGCAGUUUUGUUUCUGUAGAACACACUUGGAAUUCCAUACUUGGAAUUCCAAAUGUUCAUUAGCUUUAAAUCUGCUCUUAGAAGCAGCCACGCUAGAACACUGCCUACAGCAAUAGGUGAGGCAUUUUCAAAGAAAGUUUGCACUUUGCACUUAGUGGAUGUUGAGGGACACUCUUUUUUAUCAGUACUGAUAACCAAAUAUGAGGAGUAAUUAAAAAAAAACAAUCAAAGAAAGACUGACUGAUAUUUACAGGUUUGAAUUAGGCUUAAAUACAUUACUGUGGGUUUUAAGAACCCAUUAAUAGGAAUGAGACUACAGUACUUUGCCAUUUUUCUGUAAAACAGGGAUUUUUAAAAUUCUGAUAAAAUACAUGAUGAAAAAAGAAAAAAAAGGCUAACAAGCUGUAGUAAACUUUAAUGUAUGAAGAUUGUAUUCAGCCAGUUUAAAGUGUGUAUUUCUUCAUCAUGGAUUGUAACAGGUAUAUUUUUGUGUUUUCUUGUAACUGUUUCUUUUCCCCUUAAAGCAACAAAUAUUUCAUUUGUAAUGCUUAUUUUAUUAUAAGCUUAUAGAAAAAAGCUAUACUAUAUAUAUUAGAUUCUGCAGAAAAUGAAAAGUUAUGUAAUAUUUUGUACAAAUGUAAAAAAUGUGCCUGAAAUAAAAUGUCAGUUUGUGAAUCCCUGAUUUUGUUUCUAGCAGUUUAAUUAAGCAACCGUAGUGUCUUUAUGACAAUGACGUCAAGCUACAGAAUCAUUUUAUUAAGUGAUUAAUUCAAAUC